CCUACGGGGGGCAGCAGUAAGGAAUAUUGGUCAAUGGACGAAAGUCUGAACCAGCCAUCCCGCGUGCAGGAUGAAAGCCCUAUGGGUUGUAAACUGCUUUUAGCAGAGAAGAAAAGCUUUCAUUAAUGAGAGUCUGACGGUAUCUGCAGAAUAAGCACCGGCUAACUCCGUGCCAGCAGCCGCGGUAAUACGGAGGGUGCGAGCGUUAUCGGGUAUUAAGGGGGCGAAAGGGUGGGAAGGAGUCAGUUUAGAAAUCGUGUCGCGUAACGAUAAAAUUGCCAAUGAUACUGGUACUCUUGAAUUGGGUUGAGGUUAGCGGAAUGUGACAUGUAGCGGUGAAAUGCAUAGAUAUGUCAUGGAACACCAAUUGCGAAGGCAGCUAACUGGGCCUUGAUUGACGCUGAGGCACGAAAGCGUGGGUAGCGAACAGGAUUAGAUACCCUAGUAGUC
Molecule: ribosomal RNA, 450 nt
Filed under: uncultured bacterium
Lineage: Bacteria
Description: partial 16S ribosomal RNA
Rfam family: Bacterial small subunit ribosomal RNA
Source: RNAcentral